This 553-nucleotide ribosomal RNA is filed under the name Fusarium decemcellulare. RNAcentral's name for it is "eukaryotic LSU rRNA". The stretch from base 199 to 352 matches the Rfam family "5.8S ribosomal RNA". The record is from RNAcentral. Lineage: Eukaryota; Fungi; Ascomycota; Sordariomycetes; Hypocreales; Nectriaceae.
CAAGGUCUCCGUUGGUGAACCAGCGGAGGGAUCAUUACCGAGUUUACAACUCCCAAACCCCUGUGAACAUACCUAUAAUUUGCCUCGGCGGACUCAACGACGGUGCUCCGAGAAAUCGGUCGCCGCUCGCUGCCAGAGGAACCCCAAACUCUAUGUAUUCUUGUGGAUCUUCUGAGUAAAACAAAACAAAUAAAUCAAAACUUUCAACAACGGAUCUCUUGGUUCUGGCAUCGAUGAAGAACGCAGCGAAAUGCGAUAAGUAAUGUGAAUUGCAGAAUUCAGUGAAUCAUCGAAUCUUUGAACGCACAUUGCGCCCGCCAGUAUUCUGGCGGGCAUGCCUGUUCGAGCGUCAUUUCAACCCUCAAGCCCCCGGGCUUGGUGUUGGGGAUCGGCGAUAGUCGCCGUCCCCCAAAUCUAGUGGCGGUCUCGCUGUAGCCUCCAUUGCGUAGUAGCUAACACCUCGCAACUGGAACGCGGCGCGGCCAAGCCGUUAAACCCCCAACUUCUGAAUGUUGACCUCGGAUCAGGUAGGAAUACCCGCUGAACUUAAGCA